AACGCGAAGAACCUUACCUGGGCUUGAACUACUCGUGGUAAGUCUUUGGAAACAGAGACUGACCCGCAAGGGAGCGAGCAGAGGUGCUGCAUGGUUGUCGUCAGCUCGUGUCGUGAGAUGUUGGGUUAAGUCCCGCAACGAGCGCAACCCUUGUCCUGUGUUGGCAUGCCGUAAGGCGCAACUCUCAGGAGACCGCCAGCGAUAAGUUGGAGGAAGGUGGGGAUGACGUCAAGUCAUCAUGGCCUUUAUGUCCAGGGCCACACACGUGCUACAAUGGGCGGUACAAAGCGCUGCCAACCCGCGAGGGGGAGCUAAUCGCCAAAAACCGUCCUCAGUUCGGAUUGCAGGCUGCAACUCGCCUGCAUGAAGCUGGAAUCGCUAGUAAUGCUAUAUCAGAACGAUAGCGUGAAUACGUUCCCGGGCCUUGUACACACCGAGUAUA
This 442-nucleotide ribosomal RNA is filed under the name uncultured bacterium. RNAcentral's name for it is "bacterial SSU rRNA". It matches the Rfam family "Bacterial small subunit ribosomal RNA", at positions 958 to 1398 of the family's 1533-position model. The record is from RNAcentral.